This 76-nucleotide transfer RNA is filed under the name Anaerolinea sp. Its description in RNAcentral is "tRNA-Ala". It matches the Rfam family "tRNA". From Rfam's summary of the family: Transfer RNA (tRNA) molecules are approximately 80 nucleotides in length. Their secondary structure includes four short double-helical elements and three loops (D, anti-codon, and T loops). The record is from RNAcentral. Lineage: Bacteria; Bacillati; Chloroflexota; Anaerolineae; Anaerolineales; Anaerolineaceae. RNAcentral also lists the same sequence under 2 other names.
GGGGCUGUAGCUCACUUGGGAGAGCGCAACACUGGCAGUGUUGAGGUAGAGGGUUCGAAUCCCUCCAGCUCCACCA